GAUGAACGCUGGCGGCGUGCUUAACACAUGCAAGUCGAACGAGAAGUGAAGACGGAAACCUUCGGGCGGAAGGCUUUAUUUCGAGUGGCGGACGGGUGAGUAACGCGUGGGUAACCUGCCUCAUACAGGGGGAUAACAGUUGGAAACGACUGUUAAUACCGCAUAAGACCACAGCACCGCAUGGUGCGGGGGUAAAAACUCCGGUGGUAUGAGAUGGACCCGCGUUCGAUUAGCCAGUUGGCGGGGUAACGGCCCACCAAAGCGACGAUCGAUAGCCGAUCUGAGAGGAUGACCGGCCACAUUGGGACUGAGGCACGGCCCAAACUCCUACGGGAGGCAGCAGUGGGGAAUAUUGCACAAUGGGGGAAACCCUGAUGCAGCGACGCCGCGUGAGUGAAGAAGUAUUUCGGUAUGUAAAGCUCUAUCAGCAGGGAAGAAAAUGACGGUACCUGAGGAAGAAGCCCCGGCUAACUACGUG
Molecule: ribosomal RNA, 478 nt
Filed under: uncultured bacterium
Lineage: Bacteria
Description: partial 16S ribosomal RNA
Rfam family: Bacterial small subunit ribosomal RNA
Source: RNAcentral